GACGAACGCUGGCGGCGUGCUUAACACAUGCAAGUCGAACGGAAAGGCCUGCUUUCCCUUGUGGAUUGCGGGUACUCGAGUGGCGAACGGGUGAGUAACACGUGAGUGAUCUGCCCCCAACUUGGGUAUAAGCCUGGGAAACUGGGUCUAAUUCCCGAUAGGACUGCAGGGUGGUGCCUGUGGUGGAAAACGAUUUUCUAGUGGUUGGGGAUGAGCUCGCGGCCUAUCAGCUUGUUGGUGGGGUAAUGGCCUACCAAGGCGGCGACGGGUAGCCGGCCUGAGAGGGUGGACGGCCACAUUGGGACUGAGAUACGGCCCAGACUCCUACGGGAGGCAGCAGUGGGGAAUAUUGCACAAUGGGCGGAAGCCUGAGGCAGCGACGCCGCGUGGGGGAUGACGGCCUUCGGGUUGUAAACUCCUUUCGACCGCGAGGAAGCCACCUGGUUGGAAGGGUGGUGACGGUAGUGGUAGAAGAAGCACCGGCUAACUACGUG
This 494-nucleotide ribosomal RNA is filed under the name uncultured bacterium. RNAcentral describes it as "partial 16S ribosomal RNA". It matches the Rfam family "Bacterial small subunit ribosomal RNA", at positions 28 to 507 of the family's 1533-position model. The record is from RNAcentral.